UUCUUUCUAAGAACCACAUGUUAAAAGCCUACCAUUAAUCACACAAAAAUCUUAACUCAAAAAUACUAUCUCUUAACAAUCACUUUUACACAUAUAUUACUUAAAUAUUGCUAAGAAAUAUUUCUAAGAUACUACCAAUAAUCAUGCUCUACCAUCUUUCUUCUCCGGUUAACUUACUCUUGGUAUCCUGCUCUGUAGGUGUUAUCCGAAUUAGAAGAGAAAGCCGAAUUUAUCCAAGAAGAAAGAGGUACGAUCCAAUUCUGUGCUUCUGGAGCCAUAUGUUUUCCUCUCCCAAAGAAAUCUUUUAUCUGUACCGGUAAUUUAUUUGCAUCUUUAUGGAGACAUGGACCUAUGAGGCAAUCUGUUUUCGUUCCCAGGGGAGUAUGCGAGGAUGGUUGAAGCAUAUUGUGAUAAGGAGGAGAAGGCCAUGAUGGAUAAGGAGGCUGCCAAUAAUUGUUGUUGUAGAAACGACCUCCACGACCUCGAUAUCCGCGACCGCCACGGCCACGACCACGA
RNAcentral lists this long non-coding RNA (516 nucleotides) under Arabidopsis lyrata. RNAcentral's name for it is "long non-coding RNA (ALYR_LNC000529)". The record is from RNAcentral. Lineage: Eukaryota; Viridiplantae; Streptophyta; Magnoliopsida; Brassicales; Brassicaceae.